RNAcentral lists this ribosomal RNA (492 nucleotides) under uncultured bacterium. RNAcentral's name for it is "partial 16S ribosomal RNA". It matches the Rfam family "Bacterial small subunit ribosomal RNA", at positions 29 to 507 of the family's 1533-position model. The record is from RNAcentral.
AGUGAACGCUGGCGGUAGGCCUAACACAUGCAAGUCGAACGGCAGCACAGUAAGAGCUUGCUCUUACGGGUGGCGAGUGGCGGACGGGUGAGGAAUACAUCGGAAUCUACUUUUUCGUGGGGGAUAACGUAGGGAAACUUACGCUAAUACCGCAUACGACCUACGGGUGAAAGCAGGGGAUCUUCGGACCUUGCGCGAUUGAAUGAGCCGAUGUCGGAUUAGCUAGUUGGCGGGGUAAAGGCCCACCAAGGCGACGAUCCGUAGCUGGUCUGAGAGGAUGAUCAGCCACACUAGAACUGAGACACGGACCAGACUCCUACGGGAGGCAGCAGUGGGGAAUAUUGGACAAUGGGCGCAAGCCUGAUCCAGCCAUACCGCGUGGGUGAAGAAGGCCUUCGGGUUGUAAAGCCCUUUUGUUGGGAAAGAAAAGCAGCAGGUUAAUACCCCGCUGUUCUGACGGUACCCAAAGAAUAAGCACCGGCUAACUUCGUG